UGUGGAGCUGAGAUGAGAGGAUCACUUGAGUCAGGAAGGUCAAGGCCCUAGCCUGGGUGACAGAGUGAGAACCUGUCUUAAACUAAACCAAACUAAAGAUAAGAUCAAAUCAAAUCAAAUAAAAAUAAAAUCAAGCAUUUUUUUCACCACUGAUUUCAUCUCCAAGCAAAUGCUAUCUUGAUGCCAUGUUCAUAUAUUUAUACAAAUGUGGAGUGCUUUCAUAUCAUCACAGAAAAUUGAUCUGUUUAUUCCACAUGGAGUGAUUCUUUCCUAAAUUAUACUAACAACGUCUAUUUUGUUCUUCACUGUCAUUUAUUACAUAAAUCCUGCCAAUAAAUUUGCUGCUUCCUUCUGAAUAAAUUCCCUCUCUGCUAUCAUUUUCAUUUUAUAGCUAGUCAAAUCUUUCAUCUGGACUCUAUUACUCACCUCCUUGGACAUUAAACUCCUCUUUUUCAAUGAAGUAAGCUGCUCUUAGUGUCUUUUCCCCAGGUUAGUGCUGAAUACUCACCUCAAAGUCUCAACAGGAAGAGGACUGGCUGGGGAUUAAAAAGUCCUGGGUCAGAGUUCUAGUUCUACUCUCACUUUCUGUGUUGCUUUUGGGCAAGCCAUUUUUCUGCUUGAGUUUGUUUCCUCAUCUACAAAAAUUAGGGAGAGCACUAUCUGCACCACUUGGAUUCUUGUGAUUGAGGAUUCAAAGAGAGACAGGUCUUUGUGAAAGACCUUUGUAAAGCAGACACAUUACACAAGUGAGAAUUAUUAAAGUGCCAGAUACAGCCUGGCCACACAGAAAAUGCUUUAAAAUGUUAGUUGAGUUAAUAGCUCCCACUCAUUCUUUGCCUCUAUUACGUGCCUCACAUGGGAAGGGAGACAAGAGUUGGAGUGAACUUCCUGGGUUGUAACUGUGUUCCUAUCCCUUUCUCCCACUUCCCUCAUCUUUAAGACCAACCAGUACAUGCAGAUGGGUCUGCAGUGAUUAUGUCUGAAUCUUGAGACUCUGCCACUUUGGGCAGAGUUGAUUGAUUCAUAAGGGAGACACCUUUCCCCACCUGAGCCUGAGCCAAACAGGGCUUCUGGUGUGGCUCUUUGAUCAUUGAAAGGGAAAACAAAUUCUCCAUGUUCUUGAAGCAGGGUCUAUUAAUGACAGUGCUUUACAGAAAAGCGUCUCAAAUUGCUGCUGCUAACAUUCUCGGCUUCUUUGAUUUACUCGGCUUCCCAGACCUAUCGUUAAGUACCUCCUCAGAUUUUGUGAGAUAAAUAAAUAAAUAAUACUCACUUUCUAGGACUUUAUGGUAUGUUUACAACAUUGCUUGCGAUUCAGUAAGCAUUUGGUAAGUAUCAGCUAUUGUUAUUAAAUGACUUUGAAUAAUCCCUAGCAUAUAUAAUGAGUGUUCAGUAAUGCUAGUGAUUAUUCCUGGUACUCAACUUACAUAGCUGUUACAAGGAAUAAAAUAGUUAAUGUAUGUAAUUCACUUAAUAUAGUGCCAAGCAUGUAGUAAGUACUUAAUAUUUGUUUGCUAUUAUUUAUAUCAUAUGAAUGCUAUAACAAAUGAUACAGUAUUUGUAUUGUUUUGACAAAAAUUUUUCCCACAUGUUUUAAAUAUUUCCACUCUAGUACAUGGAGAAAUAGUUCAUCUUCUAGAAACGCUAAAUGCUAUUAGUUUUCUUUUUAUUGAUGGACAUUUAGGUAGGUUUAAUUUUUCAAAAAGCUGCAACAAAUCCCUUUAUAAUCUGACCUUGUGCAUGUAUUUAUGUCUUUUUAUAGAGUAGAGAGCCAAAAUUACAGUAGUUAAUCCAUAAGGCACAUUUAAUAUUAAUAGGAAAAACUGCCGAUUCAAGGAGCUGUGCCUAUUAACUAUUACAGCUACAUGCUUCUCUAUUAUCUUACUAACAUGUCAGGUUACCGAAGUUUGAAAUAUCUGCCAGUAGACUGAGUUACAAGCUCAUUACCUUAAUUUGCAUUUCCCUAAUUACUACUGAGAAACAUUUUUCAUGCAUUUAUUGACAAUACACAUUUUCUCUUUUGUGAACUGCCUGUUUUCUAUUUUCUUAUUUAGUAUCUGAUUUAGACUUUUUUCCUUCCAGGCAUAAUGGAGGAUUCCUUGAGAAUUCUGUUGAAUGUGUCACCCUUUUUCCUAGAUCCACCACUUCCAGUAAUAAGAGAGUGAAAAUGAAUGAUUUUAGAAUAAUAUUUCAAAUUAGAAUGAUAAUGAGCUCCUAAUUAUUAAUUGUAAGCAGCACUAUUAAAAGUGAGGUCAACAGCAUCAUCCUCACUGAGUUGUUUUUAGAUAAGUGCACCAAUUCUCAGGCCCUCCAGACCACUUCAUCAGAAACACUACGGGUGGGUUCCGCAAGCUGUGCUUUAGUUUAACAAGCCCCCUAGGUGAUCGGGAAACACGAAACUGGACCACUCGAAGAAAACAUUAGUGAUCCUAAAAAUAUAUUAAGAUUAUGAUUACAUUUGUCUUCCAAUAUUGUUUAAUAGACUCCACAUUUUAAAAUUAUAUCAAUACAUACAACUUGGAUGAGUCUCAAGAGAAUUAUUACAAGUGAACAAAGCCAUUCUCAUACAUAAUGUAUGAUUCCAUUUGCAUUACAUUCUUGAAAUGACAAAAUUAAAAAGGGCGAAGCAUGGUGGGGGCGUGAAGGUGAAUGUGGUAAUAAAAGGGCACAAUGAGGAAUCCCUAUGCUGAUGGAGCUGUUCUGUUUCUUAACUGUGGUGUUAAAUACACAGAUCCACACAUGUGAUCGAAUUACAUAGAACUGAAUACACACACGCAAGCAAGUACAAGUUAAACUGGGGAAAUCUAUAUAAAUCAAUCAAUUGCACUGAUAUCAAUAUUCUUUUUGUGAUAUACUAUAGUUCUGUAUUAUUGUUUUUCAUUGGGGAGAAUUGUGUAAAGUUUACAGGGAACCUCUCUGUUUUAUUUCUUAAAACCAGAAGUGAAUCUACAAUUGUCUCAAAAUGAAAAGUUCAAUUACAUAAUGACAAUAACAACAAAAAUUUUAUUAGGUUUAUUGUCAUCAAUUUCCACAAAUAUUGAUAGGAAACUGGGAAAAUGGUUCAUGGUCAUUUGCACUCUGAAUUUGGCAAAAUGUUUCAAUUCUCUUAGUUAUAAGUUAAGAAAGUAAUAAACAGGCUAGAUCAAGGGCAUUUUAACUUCCUAUUAAAAAUAAAGAAAAAAAGACCAUGUUUAGAAAUAGCUGUAAUUCUCUUCAAAGAGUAUUGUCUCCCAUAUCUCAGUUUUACAUAUGAUGUAUUAACUAUUUCUAGAUAAUAAUAAGACAGCAGUAAAAUACAGACAUGCUUAAAGAUGAAAGUCAUAGCUUAUAUUUUAAUUUUUAAAUUUUGGAACUGAGUCCAUUUUUAUUUGAAUGAUAAUCCUUUUUGGGAAAGUAAAAUCAUUACUAGGAAACAUUAGAGUGCAAUUUCUGCAGAACAGUUGCUUAAAGAACUGUGGGAACUCCUAACUAUAGAUGAGAUUGUAGUUUUCAAAUACUUACAAAAUAGAGUUGCUCAGCAAUACCAAAUAACCAAACAUUUGCACAAUUAAUUAAAGAUUCUCAGAGGGAGAAUGUUUCUAGAUCUUUGAUAAACAAUUGCAAUUUUUACAUUCUGACACAAUUUCUCAUAUAACCAACCUGCCAAUUGGCAACUCCAGGCUGCCAGUUUUGUUUCUUUUUUCUCCCCAGAGAUCACCUGGAAGCAGCUUUUACGUUGUACCUAUAUCAAACCAUUUAUUUUGGCCUCUUUUUGGAGGCUUAAUCUUCUGGGCUUUAUUGAUUUUGACUUCCUGGAUGACAAUUUCAGAUGUUAACUGAAUAAUUAUUUGAGGCUUGGAGGAUAUAUUUUUAUACAAACCUUUCUUCUGGGAACUAUUAAAGCCAAUAAAAAUUGGAGGGUGAAAGAAAGAUGGAGUUGUUUAUAUUUUAAUUCUAAUCUUCUUUUUCUUUAUUUGGUUGACUUAUUUGUGGAUUUACCAGGGUAGGUUUCAAUCCAUUCAAUAUCCUCUUUCACCUGGGAAUUAAAACCUACCGCAAAAAUUGGCCAGGACUUUUAGUGGAAUUUAUCACGUUUAGAAUCCAUAAACUACAGUUAUUAAUUCCAAAAAUAGUUUAGUAAUUUUUACAAAUUAAAAUUAUUUGCACAUAUGAGUAUUCAACAUAUGACAUAUUAUUAUAAACAACUUGUUUCUACUCAUCUAUUCAUGUCUCCUAGUAUCCUAUGGGGUAGGAGCAGAGUAUUGCCUUAGAGAUGGAUAUUUAGUGAAUAUAGCAUGGAAACUGGAACAAUAUAUGAGCUGAUAGUUUUGCUUUGAGAUAAACUUCUCUGUUGGAUUCUAUUCUCAGAAAACUUCUGGAAACAUGUCUAUGUAGUGUGUAGUUUGAGGGAGACUGUACUGCAGUAGUUAAGCAAUAAGAAAAUUCCAUAUUCUAAAAAUUUGAGACCAACUUUUACUUAUAAGUCUUUAUGUUUUUUUUUUACUUCAUUUUGAUAAUCUCUUUAUUUUUCAGAAGCAUGAAUAUUUCUAACAUGAGUUUUGAGCUCCUUUUAAGAUCAGGGGGAGAGAAGCGGUCUUUUAUGAUUUCUGUGUACUGAGUCAUAACAUACCAAGUUGCUGGUGCCAGAAACACACACUAGACUUACUCCCCUUAAACAGCCUCUCCAAACAAAUCAAUGAAAGGCUCCUAGGACUAUAAUUUAUGGUGCCCCAUACAUUGAUAAGAAAAAUGCUGGACUGAGUUCAGAAACAAGGGUCAAAUGAUGACAACAAGAGCAAACAAUUUCGAAUUGUAAUUGCAGCUGACUACAAAGUUGCUGGUAGAAAAUACAAAUCAGAGAGAACUACACAGUCGUAACUAAGCCAGGCUUUCUUUUAUUUAAUUACUUAUUUAAAAAGACAACACUUCACACCUGGGAAAAGGCUAAAGUGUUUGCAUCUUCUUCAUAAAAUAUACAGUUACAAAAACUGAGAAAGAGCUCCUUUUUGUCAUGUAUUUUCCAGGGGUAAUGAGACUCAACUAUUUGAGCUUAUUGAAAGCACCAAAUAGUUUUAGUCAAGGAUAGAGCAUUCCUAUGACGUGUAGUUACUGCUGUUAGCCUUCGCUGGGCUUGAGCUGUCACAUAGCAAUGCUGUACAGUUUCAUUCUCUCAUUAAUGCAAUCUUUCUAGAUAUCACUGUGCCAGUUCAUUGCUCGCCAUUAUCUGUUACCAUUUAUAUUCCUCUUCAUUUUUAACUAUUGUAGUCUUUAGGAUUAUUUAACAAAAUUAAGGUAACAAAUUGAAAGGGAAAAAGAUAAUGUCUCAAGUCUUACUUGCUUAGGAAGAGACUGAGUUUUAGUAGAUUCGCUAGUUAACAGAAAAAUCCCAAAUAUGUAAAAAAAAAAACAAAAAACCUCCAGCAUUACUAGACUAUAAGUUGAAAUAGAAAAAUAACGUAUCUAUAUCUUUUUGAAUUAAAAAGAAAGUAGCUAUUAUAUGUCCUGUUUCUUCUUCUGUCCAGUUCAUAACAGUUGAAUCACACUCCACUCAGUAAGGGAAGCUUUUUGCCCUACUUCAGGCAGAAUUUUCACAGGCCUUUCUCUUAUCUAAGCCUCUCUAUGAACCUUUCCUCUAUUUCUGUUACUUUAUCUAAUUUGGGAGAUAAGCAGGAUCAAAAACAAACAAAAAGAGCUGCCAAAGAAAUAAUAGAGACUUUUGUUUCUUUUCUGAAUUGGAACCUUCCUACCUGCUAAUGUAGUUUAAAUUAAAAAGCAGUGAGUCACCCUUUUCUAUUAUUUGCAUGAAUCCACACCUGUUGUCCACCUUUGCAGAAAAGGUCGCGAGUGAUGACUCAUGCUGCCUUCCCCACUUCAAGGACUUUCCUGCUGUCCGUGCUCAUCAAUAGCAUCCAUAUAAUUUAUUUUACAUGUCAGUUUCCUCAGUCUAGGUCCUAGAAAUCAGUAGACCUGUGCCGCCUCUGAGUAGGGAUCUUCUUAUUUGAUUUAAACUCCCCUGAGUAAUUCAGGCAUGUGAUGCUAACCCCAAGUACCCUAGAAAAAGCCUUGCAAUUCAGUAUGUGUAAAGCAGAUUUGUUAGCAAUUGAAAAGGCAAUGGCAUACAGUAUCCCUCAUUCUUUGUAAAGAGAAAAUUUGAAUUUAUUCUAUUAUUUGAGAGAAGUUAGAUAUUGUGAAAAAAUUUACAUUUAGGAUGAUGACAAUAGUUAUCAUGUACUAUAUGGCCAUUACUGUGUAAAUGAUUUAAUUCACUAUCAUAUUUGACCCUCACCCAAAGACAUAGGUGCUACAAUCUCCUUUUUUUGAAAGAAAAAAACUGAGGUUUGGGGAGAUUAAACGGUUUAUCGUCACAUAGCUAAUAAGAACCAGAGGUGUAAUUUGAAUCAAAGGCUUUUCUUCUCCAAAGUCUGUGUCCUUUUUUACUUUACUAUACUACUUCAGAAAAGAAGAAUCAUACUAAUUCUGAAUCUGCUUAACUGAAUUUGUCAUCGUUUAGUCAGGCAGAACUAGCAUUUAUUCACCCUUGUACUCUGAGGCUGAAUUUAUUAAUUCAACAAAUACUUACUGAAUGAGGUUUAUGUACCAAAGUGAUUUUCCUCCUAAGUUCUUCAAAUAUUCAUCAAUGUUAGGAAUAUAGAUACCUCUUUCAAGACAUAAUACUCAUUUCCCAAGCCAAAAAUCAAAGACAGUGGUUUAAUCUAUUAUCAGUUGUUGGAACACUUAACCCAUUAGAAGUCUUUAAUACAUUCUGUUUCUUCUUUCAGGCUUAAGUGUGAAUCUGAAAUAUUAUACAUCUUUUUGAAGCAGACUCUUUAAAGAAUCACAUUCCGAGUUCUCAACACAAGAUAAUUAAAGCGAUCACCAUUGAAAAUUUUAAAACUUAACAAAACACUUAGAUUUCAUGAUAGUUAUGUUACAGCACAUUUAAGUUACAUGCCCUAUAACCCUAGCUAAAUUAAAAGUCAUUUUUUUCUCCAUUUUGAUAGAAUUAAACUGCUUUUGAAUCUUUCCAUGAAGAUCAGCUAAUCUUGAUACAGGUUUCCUUAAUCUCUGAAAUAUGAUGAGUGAUAUUUAUGAGAAGAAUUGGAAGAAGACUAAGUAAAUUUAAUAACACAAAGAAAGAAGGAAAAAAGUAAUGGCCAAAGGAAGUAAAAUAAAUUUUUAAAGGCAGGGAAAAGUGAAGAAGAUGCAAAGUAAGGGUUGAAUUCUAAGGUCAUGGAACAUCAGGGGCAGCAGCUUACAAAGAAUCCUUUUUUGCCUCUCUUAGCAUGAUCUUGUAUAUAUAUUGAAAAUUGAAGUUUAUCAGUGAAAACCUCAUUUUUGCUAGUCUUUUGCAUGUCUCACAUAAAGGAGGUGUGGCUUAUGGCUACUUGAUAACACUGUUAAUAAUAUAGGGUAUCCUGCUAAGGAGCUCUCAUAGGGCCUUGCUCUCCCUAAGGUACUCCUGAGCCAUCAAGAGAAUGGAAUAGGUGUUAAGACAAAACACCUCUCUGCUCUCUGCCGAUCUCAAUGCAAUAAUUCACUUAUUCAUUUCCUUAUUCAUAGUUGUUCAUUCCUUUAAGAAAAUAUAUACUGAAAACUAAAGACAAUGUACUGGGCUCUACAAAACAAUUUUUAAAAAGCACACACAGGAUCUCCCCUAAAUACUUCCACAUUAAAUACCUUCUCUGAGUGUUCUACGGGACCGUUGACCUCAACAAAUGUGAAACUUAAGUUCGCUAUGCUCUUCCCACCAUGCCCUGUCACUAAUCACCCAGUAUUUCCACCUCUACCAAAUCUGUUCUUCCAUUAAUAGGUCAUGUUUUUGUUACUGGUAAAAAACAUCCCCUUUGUCAUCCAAGUUCUUUUCUGUCUUUUGGCCUCUUCUACUUCUCUAAUCAGUCAUUAGGUAACUUCGAUUCUGCUCCUGAUUCUAUCUCCUUCUCUCCACCCUCUUAUCAUCUCUCAUUUGACUUAACUGAGAUAAGCUCCCAUCCAACUUUUCCUCCAGUGCCUCUUUUUCCUCCCUUUAUGUACUUGGUAGUCUGAACGAUGCCCCUAAAAUUCAAAUUGCAUUGUAUCACUUUCUUGCUAAAAAUCUUACUCCUCCUGACAAAACAAGAAAUAACAUCUCUUAAAAUUGUAGAGAAAUACCUUCACAUCUAUUUUAUUUACAUAUUUAUCUACCUCUCUAAUAUUUUUAACUUUUAGCAUUCUUUUCCAUGAAUGCUUGGCUUGCAUUAUGUUGUAAUUUUCUUGAAAUAUAUGUUAGAAGUCAUAUUUUUAGUACUUUAUGGGAAGUAGAAAACUAUUAAAUUUAUUUUAGUAAGUCAGAGGCAAGACCAGGAUGUGAUUCACAGGGAUGAAUAUAGUAGCAAUUUGAAAAAUGGACCAGAGAACGCGGAAGCUAGAAACUGAAGGAACGGGUUGCAGUAGGUGGUUACUGCAGUGUUGUUGAAGAUACGAGCCGGGGCAGGAAAGGAGAUACAGUGAGACGACAUGCAUGAGGUAAGGUUAUGUAUGAACUCACCUGAGCUGUUAUGAUUCAUAUUAUCAGCCUGAUUGCGUGGCAUGACACUCACAAUGGAAAAUGGAAGGGGCAGAAAGAGUCGAGAAUCUUUCAGACUUUUCUUAUAAGUCAAUGUGAGGAGAUUAGUAGAGAAGUGAUAUACAGAAACCACUAUUGAAAUAACUAAGAAUAACCUGCACUUAACAUAGGCAUAUAUAAAAUGAUAUUUCUAAGAUAUUAGCAUAUCUUGUGGUCACCAAAUAUUUCAGCCAUUUCUUGAUUUAAUUUUACGGUAUGAAUUUGUCAGCAAACAUUUUUUACAAUUUUUAGGAAUGAGCCAAUUGUAAAGAGUUUUACUUCUUUCUAAUUUGAAGCCUUAUUUUAUGCUGAACACUGUAUACAGCCCUGUGGAAAUAAAUAAACACAAGAUAAUCCCUACACUCAAAGGAAAUUACAAACUCGUUGAGGGUUUUUAACAAGCAAAAGAGAAAUCUAAAAGUUAGUCAAUUAGGUAGAAAAUUUAGGCCCCGAAACACUUUCCCCUUACAGGCAUAUAACCAAAGCAUGAAAAAAGGGAUAUUUAUUUCGUCUCGCUUAAUUUAUUGGUUACCUACUAGAGCUAGAGGCCCCAAAACACUAAACAAAAAGAAAGUAUUCAUGGGAAAUAUUCAACAUGCAAAACAUGCCUGCCAAGAAACCAAACAACCCACACACAGCCAAUAAAAUUGAAGACUCUUACUUCAUACUCUAAAUGCCUCCAGACUGAAACUGUGUCAGGGGGAGAACAUUUCACAGCUGUAGAACUUCUUUGUAGAGAGAUUUUUCUGCCGGUCUCAAAAUUCUGUAACACAAAUCAUUACCUAGAGAAGCACACCAGAACUUCUUAAAUAGUUAAGGGAAUGUAUAGGAAUGUAGUUAUUUUAAACUUGUAGGGAAGAGGAUGCUCUCUUGAGCAAGCAACUACUUUGCAAUUCUUAGCAUUCUUAAAAGAUCACCUUCAGCAUUACAGCUAAGAUUCGUGUAUUCUAAUUAGAAGACUUAAAAUCCAGGAUAUGAUCAUAUUAGAACCAAAGCAAGCACUUUGUCACAUUUAGCUUUACACUCUUUAGUUUAAACCACUGUCAUUUAAAAUAAGAAUAAUUUUGUGUUCUUUCUAUAAAAAUGUAGAUGUGGGACACUUUCCAAUCCUGCAAUAAAGCAAAAUUUGUGCAAAAAAUGCAAAUUUUUAAAGUUUUUGUUGCCUUCUAACACACAGCAUAAUCAAAAUCAUCAUUCACUGACUUGAAGAUAGGUUACUCAUGUCAUUUAAUACAAUUUUUACAGCAGUUUAUUUUUCUCUUUGUUCUUUAUUUCCACUCCUUAUGCUUAGAAGUGAUUAUUACGUGUUUCUUACCUUUCUCUAAUGUUUAAUAUGCUAUCCCAGGCAGACAUAAUGAAAGAGCAGUAUGGAAUAAAAAAGUGUUUAUUAAGAAAUGCAUUUCUAUAAAAAGUAAUAGAAAAUUUAGAGAAGAGGCAUAUGCAUAUUGAAAUUGCCAAAAUGAAAUUUUGCUGCUGUGUAAAAAGGAUCAUAAAAUGUGUCCUAGGUGCCCUUGAGGAUGUGUUGAUCAUAGUGACUUGUAUCUAAUCAAUAAUAUAGAAGAUUGGGGGACUUUAUCAUGGACAAACAUGGCAGACAGCACCUUAAACAAGUGAUAAAAAUGGAGACAGUUUCCAGAGUAUCUUCUGGAAACUUUCUCAAAUAAUACGUAUUGAGUGUGGAAAAGGCAAGAUAUGUGAGUUUAAGCAAAUUUUCCCAGAUGAUUCUGCUAUUCAGUCUCACAUGUAGGAAUGUAGCUCUAAGGAAAUUUUGUUUUCUCUUUGAAAUAAGAGAUUUUUAUCAAUUUGUUUUGUU
Molecule: long non-coding RNA, 10373 nt
Organism: Sapajus apella (tufted capuchin)
Lineage: Eukaryota; Metazoa; Chordata; Mammalia; Primates; Cebidae
Exons: 2
Source: RefSeq, a predicted model, not a curated record